RNAcentral lists this non-coding RNA (31 nucleotides) under Mus musculus (house mouse). The record is from RNAcentral. Lineage: Eukaryota; Metazoa; Chordata; Mammalia; Rodentia; Muridae.
UGAUAUAGGUGUUUUCUCCUCAAGAGAGGCU